This 240-nucleotide unclassified non-coding RNA is filed under the name soil metagenome. Its description in RNAcentral is "partial contains 5.8S ribosomal RNA, internal transcribed spacer 2, and large subunit ribosomal RNA". The record is from RNAcentral.
AACACUGUUAACCUGCGGUACCUGCGGAGGGAUCAUUAUAGUAUAUGGAAUCUCCAUUCUAUAAACCCACUCUGCGUAUCUUGUAACUGUUGCUUCCAUAGGACUUGGUUCCGCCACACCGGCUUCACGGCUGGUGAGCGCCCAUGGAAGGAGAAACAAAACUCUUCUUUGAAAUGUAGUCAGUCUGAACAAGUUUUUAUAAACGUUAAAACUUUCAACAAUGGAUCUCAGAUCGGAAGA